UACAUAGGCCCCAAGCGUUAUCCGGAAUUACUGGGCGUAAAGAGUUCGUAGGCGGAGGAACAAGUCAGAUGUUAAAUGUAUGGGCUCAACCCAUUACUUGCAUCCGAAACUGUUCCCCUAGAAUCAGGGAGAGGUAAGCAGAACUGUAUGAGUAGGGGUGCAAUCCGUUGAUACAUACAAGAAUACCAAAAACGAAGGCGGCUUACUGGAACUAUAUUGACGCUGAGGAACGAAAGCGUGGGGAGCGAAAAGGAUUAGAUACCCUUGUAGUCCACGCCCUAAACGAUGGAUGCUAAGUGUCGGGGUAACCCGGUGCUUUAAGCUAACGCAUUAAGCAUCCCGCCUGAGAAGUACGGUCGCAAGAUUAAAACUCAAAUGAAUAGACGGGGACCCACACGAGCAGUGGAUCAUGUUGUUUAAUUCGACAAUAAACGAGAAACCUCACCCAGGCUUGACAUCGAAGGAAUCUGCCAGAAACGGCGGAGUACCCGCAAGGGACCCGAAGACAGGUGCUGCAUGGUUGUCGUCAGCUCGUGCCUUGAGGUGUUCGGUUAAGUCCGUUAACGAGCGCAACCCAUGUCGUUAGUUAUUAUGUCUAACGAGACUGCCUGAGUUAAUCAGGAGGAAGGUGUGGAUGACGUCAAAUCAGCAUGGCCCUUAUGCCUGGGGCUACAAACAUGAUACAAUGGUCGGUACAAAGAGUCGCAAACCUGCGAAGGUAGGCCAAUCUCAUAAAGCCGAUCUCAGUCCAGAUUGGAGUCUGCAACUCGACUCCAUGAAGUUGGAAUUGCUAGUAAUCGUGAAUCAGCUAUGUCACGGUGAAUCCGUUCCUGGGUCUUGUACUCACCGCCCGUCAAAGCAUGGGAGGUGGUUCUACUGGAAGCCCCCGAAGUAAUAUUGGGGUCCAUGGUAAAAUCACUGACUGGGCUU
Molecule: ribosomal RNA, 930 nt
Filed under: uncultured eubacterium SRang2.3
Lineage: Bacteria
Description: SSU rRNA
Rfam family: Bacterial small subunit ribosomal RNA
Source: RNAcentral